ACGGCGGACGGGUGAGUAACGCGUGGGUAACCUACCCUGUACACACGGAUAACAUACCGAAAGGUAUGCUAAUACGGGAUAAUAUAUUGAGAGGCAUCUCUUAAAUAUCAAAGGUGAGCCAGUACAGGAUGGACCCGCGUCUGAUUAGCUAGUUGGUAAGGUAACGGCUUACCAAGGCGACGAUCAGUAGCCGACCUGAGAGGGUGAUCGGCCACAUUGGAACUGAGACACGGUCCAA
RNAcentral lists this ribosomal RNA (238 nucleotides) under uncultured bacterium. RNAcentral describes it as "partial 16S ribosomal RNA". It matches the Rfam family "Bacterial small subunit ribosomal RNA", at positions 95 to 334 of the family's 1533-position model. The record is from RNAcentral.